This 584-nucleotide unclassified non-coding RNA is filed under the name Penicillium nalgiovense. RNAcentral's name for it is "sequence contains 18S rRNA gene, ITS1, 5.8S rRNA gene, ITS2, 28S rRNA gene". The stretch from base 219 to 371 matches the Rfam family "5.8S ribosomal RNA". The record is from RNAcentral. Lineage: Eukaryota; Fungi; Ascomycota; Eurotiomycetes; Eurotiales; Aspergillaceae.
CGUAACAAGGUUUCCGUAGGUGAACCUGCGGAAGGAUCAUUACCGAGUGAGGGCCCUCUGGGUCCAACCUCCCACCCGUGUUUAUUUUACCUUGUUGCUUCGGCGGGCCCGCCUUAACUGGCCGCCGGGGGGCUCACGCCCCCGGGCCCGCGCCCGCCGAAGACACCCUCGAACUCUGUCUGAAGAUUGUAGUCUGAGUGAAAAUAUAAAUUAUUUAAAACUUUCAACAACGGAUCUCUUGGUUCCGGCAUCGAUGAAGAACGCAGCGAAAUGCGAUACGUAAUGUGAAUUGCAAAUUCAGUGAAUCAUCGAGUCUUUGAACGCACAUUGCGCCCCCUGGUAUUCCGGGGGGCAUGCCUGUCCGAGCGUCAUUGCUGCCCUCAAGCCCGGCUUGUGUGUUGGGCCCCGUCCUCCGAUCCCGGGGGACGGGCCCGAAAGGCAGCGGCGGCACCGCGUCCGGUCCUCGAGCGUAUGGGGCUUUGUCACCCGCUCUGUAGGCCCGGCCGGCGCUUGCCGAUCAACCCAAAUUUUUAUCCAGGUUGACCUCGGAUCAGGUAGGGAUACCCGCUGAACCUAAGCAUAUC